CAGUCGCCGCGGUAAUACGAAGGGUGCAAGCGUUAAUCGGAUUUACUGGGCGUAAAGCGUGCGUAGGCGGCUUUUUAAGUCGGAUGUGAAAUCCCUGAGCUUAACUUAGGAAUUGCAUUCGAUACUGGGAAGCUAGAGUAUGGGAGAGGAUGGUAGAAUUCCAGGUGUAGCGGUGAAAUGCGUAGAGAUCUGGAGGAAUACCGAUGGCGAAGGCAGCCAUCUGGCCUAAUACUGACGCUGAGGUACGAAAGCAUGGGGAGCAAACAGGAUUAGAUACCCGAGUAGUCCCUGUCUCUUAUAC
Molecule: ribosomal RNA, 301 nt
Filed under: uncultured bacterium
Lineage: Bacteria
Description: partial 16S ribosomal RNA
Rfam family: Bacterial small subunit ribosomal RNA
Source: RNAcentral